GCUCACGGCGGCGCCGGCAGUAGGAGACAGCAGCAGCGACAGCAAUUCACAUUUCUAUCAUUGUUAUUGUUCUCCCAAUUUUCCAAGUUCAAAUUGAAGAAUACGAAGAUUAUGAUUUCAUCUUUAAUUAGACCCAAGGCAUUGUCUGUGGAUUGGUGCUCUGUCUGUGCAAAGUUUCCCAAACGUUGAUUUUGGUUGAUUUAUAAGUUCAUUUAAUUCGAAUUUUAUAAGUUCAUUUAUAAGUUUGUGAAGACAAUUUUAUAAGUAACAAAUAAAC
Molecule: long non-coding RNA, 277 nt
Filed under: Oryza brachyantha (malo sina)
Lineage: Eukaryota; Viridiplantae; Streptophyta; Magnoliopsida; Poales; Poaceae
Description: long non-coding RNA (OBRA_LNC000765)
Source: RNAcentral